UUGGACUACCAAAGCUUAUUGUUAAUUUUGUGACCAUUACACUUAUGUACAUUUCAUUUAAAAUUGUGAAGCAACUGCAAGUAGAACAAAAUAAUUUGGAAAACUUGGAAUUUUUUACAUUCAAUUCAAUGUUGUACUGUAUAAGCUGGAAAAAUUAGAAAAUGUUCAAAUUAAUCUACAUACGUUUAAUCCCUUUGCAAAUGUUUCAAAAAUAAAAAAAAAAGAAUGUACAUACAACUGUUGUUUUUGCCAGAUAUAAAAUUUGCCAGGAAGGUCACAACGUAAUUCAGAUAAAAUGAUGGUGAAUUAAUGGGAAUGAAAAAUUACAAGCAAUAAAAAUGAACUGCCAGCCAAAAACAAAAUGACGAUAUUAAAAACAUAUUAUUGGCUAUCACCAUUAACUAAAAUAUUACAAUAAAAUUCAAUAAAGAUUUUAA
Molecule: long non-coding RNA, 437 nt
Organism: Condylostylus longicornis
Lineage: Eukaryota; Metazoa; Arthropoda; Insecta; Diptera; Dolichopodidae
Exons: 3
Source: RefSeq, a predicted model, not a curated record